This 301-nucleotide ribosomal RNA is filed under the name uncultured bacterium. Its description in RNAcentral is "partial 16S ribosomal RNA". It matches the Rfam family "Bacterial small subunit ribosomal RNA", at positions 509 to 807 of the family's 1533-position model. The record is from RNAcentral.
CAGUCGCCGCGGGAAUACAGAGGGUGCGAGCGUUAAUCGGAUUUACUGGGCGUAAAGCGUGCGUAGGCGGCUUCUUAAGUCGGAUGUGAAAUCCCUGAGCUUAACUUAGGAAUUGCAUUCGAUACUGGGAAGCUAGAGUAUGGGAGAGGAUGGUAGAAUUCCGGGUGUAGCGGUGAAAUGCGUAGAGAUCUGGAGGAAUACCGAUGGCGAAGGCAGCCAUCUGGCCUAAUACUGACGCUGAGGUACGAAAGCAUGGGGAGCAAACAGGAUUAGAUACCCCAGUAGUCCCUGUCUCUUAUAC